This 483-nucleotide ribosomal RNA is filed under the name uncultured bacterium. RNAcentral describes it as "partial 16S ribosomal RNA". It matches the Rfam family "Bacterial small subunit ribosomal RNA", at positions 30 to 507 of the family's 1533-position model. The record is from RNAcentral.
UUGAACGCUGGCGGCAGGCCUCACACAUGCAAGUCAAGCGGAUGAAGGGAGCUUGCUCCUGGAUUCAGCGGCGGACGGGUGAGUAAUGCCUAGGAAUCUGCCUGGUAGUGGGGGAUAACGUCCGGAAACGGGCGCUAAUACCGCAUACGUCCUGAGGGAGAAAGUGGGGGAUCUUCGGACCUCACGCUAUCAGAUGAGCCUAGGUCGGAUUAGCUAGUUGGUGGGGUAAAGGCCUACCAAGGCGACGAUCCGUAACUGGUCUGAGAGGAUGAUCAGUCACACUGGAACUGAGACACGGUCCAGACUCCUACGGGAGGCAGCAGUGGGGAAUAUUGGACAAUGGGCGAAAGCCUGAUCCAGCCAUGCCGCGUGUGUGAAGAAGGUCUUCGGAUUGUAAAGCACUUUAAGUUGGGAGGAAGGGCAGUAAGUUAAUACCUUGCUGUUUUGACGUUACCAACAGAAUAAGCACCGGCUAACUUCGUG